GCAAAAAAAAAAAAAAAAGGCAAAAGUGGAUAAGUUCCCAUUCUGUGGCCACGUGGUGUCUGAUGAAUAUGAGAAAAUAUCCUCUGAAGCCUUGGAGGAUGCUCGUAUUUGUGUCAACAAGUACAUGAUAAAAAGUUGCGGCAAAGAUGGCUUUCAUAGCCGAGUGUGGCUCCACCCUUUCCAUGUCAUCCAAAUGACAUGUUGUCCUGUGCUGGGGCUGACAGGCUCCAAACAGGUAUGUGGGGUACCUUUGAGAAACCCCAGGGCACAGUGGCCAGGGUUCACAUUGGCCAAAUCAUCAUGUCCAUUCGCACCAAGCUGCAGAACAAGGAAUAUGUGACUGAGGCCCUACACAGGGCCAAGUUCAAGUUCCCUAGCCCCAGAAGAUCCACAUCUCAAAGAAGUGGGGCUUUAACAAAUGUAAUGCUGAUGAGUUCGAAGACUUGGUGGCCGAGAAGCAGCUCAUUCCUGAUGGUGUGGGGUCAAAUAUAUUCCCAAUCAUGGUCCCCUGGACAAGUGGUGGGCCCUGCAUUCAUGAGGGCUUCCACUGUGCUGUCCCCUUCUUAAUAUCACACACACACACCAAUAAAUCCUGUAUUGUAUUUAAAAAAAAUCUGUUUCCUAGGCCAA
Molecule: long non-coding RNA, 630 nt
Filed under: Marmota monax (woodchuck)
Lineage: Eukaryota; Metazoa; Chordata; Mammalia; Rodentia; Sciuridae
Source: RNAcentral